GGGGCUGAAUUUAAGCUCGACGUUGGACUUUAUUAGUUAGAGAAGCAGGUCGCUUGCUGAGCGUUAUACGGCAAAUUGAAUAAAUGCAAAAACAUUUACUCAGCGACUAGCUAGCGCAUUUUCAAUGCCUAAGCUAGAUUUCGCACUAGCUGCCUAAUUAUUAGACAGCCGUCACUAAAGCGACGCCAGAUAGUUUUAAAUGACGCCAUAUUUAUCUGGAUGCUCACAUACUCUUGAUCUGUAGUAUGUGCUAAGAUUUUGGAUCUGCGGACUAUGAUUUUUUGGUUAUUUAUCGGUCAUUGUCUCAAGUCAACCCAAAUGACAUAAACCUGUAGAUGCUCUAACAAAAAUAAACUAGCGGACGUGGGGGCAGUACCCACCAGCUCCACCA
RNAcentral lists this transfer-messenger RNA (391 nucleotides) under Candidatus Saccharimonadota bacterium. It matches the Rfam family "transfer-messenger RNA". Rfam says of the family: Bacterial tmRNA, also known as 10Sa RNA or SsrA, is named for its dual tRNA and mRNA-like properties. Its role is to liberate the mRNA from a stalled ribosome. To accomplish this part of the tmRNA is used as a reading frame that ends in a translation stop signal. Lineage: Bacteria; Candidatus Saccharimonadota. RNAcentral also lists the same sequence under 1 other name. The record is from RNAcentral.